UGAUGGGCUCAGAGCACAGGAUGGGGUGGGGUGGGGGGAUGGGCUCAGGGCACCAUGUGCCACCACUUGAAGGAGAAGGGCCGCCGGCGCACGUUGGUGCCGCAGUGCACCUCCCCGUGCCGCAGGUGGUACGCGU
Molecule: long non-coding RNA, 136 nt
Organism: Leopardus geoffroyi (Geoffroy's cat)
Lineage: Eukaryota; Metazoa; Chordata; Mammalia; Carnivora; Felidae
Exons: 3
Source: RefSeq, a predicted model, not a curated record